This 83-nucleotide transfer RNA is filed under the name uncultured Victivallis sp. It matches the Rfam family "tRNA". From Rfam's summary of the family: Transfer RNA (tRNA) molecules are approximately 80 nucleotides in length. Their secondary structure includes four short double-helical elements and three loops (D, anti-codon, and T loops). Lineage: Bacteria; Pseudomonadati; Lentisphaerota; Lentisphaeria; Victivallales; Victivallaceae. The record is from RNAcentral.
GAGAGAUGGUCGAGUGGUUUAAGGCAGCGGUCUUGAAAAUCGCCGUGGCGCAAGUCACCGAGGGUUCGAAUCCCUCUCUCUCC